Molecule: ribosomal RNA, 424 nt
Filed under: uncultured bacterium
Lineage: Bacteria
Description: bacterial SSU rRNA
Rfam family: Bacterial small subunit ribosomal RNA
Source: RNAcentral
UAAGGAAUAUUGGACAAUGGGCGCAAGCCUGAUCCAGCCAUGCCGCGUGCAGGAUGACGGCCCUAUGGGUUGUAAACUGCUUUUAGCAGGGAAAAAACCCCUCGAUGCGUCGGGGGCUGAUGGUACCUGCAGAAUAAGGAUCGGCUAACUCCGUGCCAGCAGCCGCGGUAAUACGGAGGAUCCAAGCGUUAUCCGGAUUUAUUGGGUUUAAAGGGUGCGUAGGCGGAUUAAUAAGUCAGUGGUGAAAGCCUGCAGCUUAACUGUAGAAUUGCCAUUGAUACUGUUAAUCUUGAAUGUAGUUGAGAUGGGCGGAAUAUGACAUGUAGCGGUGAAAUGCUUAGAUAUGUCAUAGAACACCGAUUGCGAAGGCAGCUCGUUAAACUAUUAUUGACGCUGAGGCACGAAAGCGUGGGGAGCAAACAGG